This 399-nucleotide ribosomal RNA is filed under the name uncultured bacterium. RNAcentral's name for it is "bacterial SSU rRNA". It matches the Rfam family "Bacterial small subunit ribosomal RNA", at positions 355 to 770 of the family's 1533-position model. The record is from RNAcentral.
UGGGGGAUAUUGCACAAUGGGGGAAACCCUGAUGCAGCGACGCCGCGUGAGUGAAGAAGGAUUUCGGUAUGUAAAGCUCUAUCAGCAGUGAAGAAAGAAGACGGUACCUGAGUAAGAAGCCCCGGCUAACUACGUGCCAGCAGCCGCGGUAAUACGUAGGGGGCGAGCGUUAUCCGGAUUUACUGGGUGUAAAGGGAGCGUAGACGGCAAGGCAAGCCUGGAGUGAAAGGCGGGGGCCCAACCCCCGGACUGCUCUGGGAACUGUCUAGCUAGAGUGCAGGAGGGGUAAGUGGAAUUCCUAGUGUAGCGGUGAAAUGCGUAGAUAUUAGGAGGAACACCAGUGGCGAAGGCGGCUUACUGGACUGUAACUGACGUUGAGGCUCGAAAGCGUGGGGAGCA